Molecule: long non-coding RNA, 1054 nt
Filed under: Piliocolobus tephrosceles (Ugandan red Colobus)
Lineage: Eukaryota; Metazoa; Chordata; Mammalia; Primates; Cercopithecidae
Description: lncRNA (ENSPTEG00000003665.1)
Source: RNAcentral
AUUACAUUGUUUAUUUUUGCUUAACAUUAUAAACGAACAUCUUACUAUUAAUAAUGAAUCAGGUUUGCUUUAUAUAAAUAAUGACAUGAUAUUGAAUAAAAAAGAAAGAGUAGAACAAAUGAAUGAUAGCAAAAUAAAACUAAGUUUAAAUGAAAACAUAAAAAAUGGAGGAGUGUUUAGAAUAGAUGGAGAAAGGGGUACAUAUAAAGAAGGUACAAUAUAUAAUAGUAGAAGUAGUAGUAAAAGUAAGAGUAAGGGGGUAGGUAGAAACAGGGUAAGGGGUAGAACAAAAAGAGGUAAACAUGGUGGUAUUAGUAGCAAUAGCUAUAACGAUAAUAAUAAUAUUAGUAGUAGUAGUAGUAAUAAUAAUAAUAAUAAUAGUAUUAGUAGUAAUAGUAGUAGUAGUAGUAGUAGUAGUAAUAAUAGUAGUAAUAUAAGUAAUAGUAAUAAUAGUAAUAAAUUAUAUUUUAAUAAUCGUAGUAAAAAGAAAGGUACACAUAAAAAGACUAAAUCUGGAGCUUAUGAAUUUAAUACCGUGUAUCGUACUAGCAGCAACAGCAUCGGUUAUGAUUGUAUUAAUAAUAGUAACAACCGUGUUGAUAGUAAUCAUACUAAUGUUAUAUCAAAACAAAAAUAUUUAUAUUCAUCAAAUUUUAAAAAUAAUUAUGCACAUAUUCAUAAUUUUGGUACAAGUAUUAGUAAUACGAAUUUAAAUAAUAAUAAAAUGAACAUGAACAGUUCAGGUUUAUAUGGGUAUAAAAAAAACGACACUACAAAUAACAUAUAUGUUAAUAAUAAUAAUAAUAAUAAUAAUAGUAGUAGUAGUAGUAGUAGUGCUAAAGUGAACACAGUAACACGGAUAACAAAUAAAGGUCUUUAUCCUAACGUUAACACAAGUAUACCACAUGGACCUUCGAAUAUAAAUAAAGUAUCUACUGAAGAAGGUGUAGGUAGUAUACAAAAUGUAAAUAAUAUGUUUAAUUCUAAAAAUUUAAUAAGUCAAGAGGGCAAUAAUAGUACUACAUGUGAUUAUAAAAAUAAUUAUUUUUCGGAG